Molecule: transfer RNA, 65 nt
Filed under: Nyctanolis pernix (nimble long-limbed salamander)
Lineage: Eukaryota; Metazoa; Chordata; Amphibia; Caudata; Plethodontidae
Description: tRNA-Ile
Source: RNAcentral
GACGUGUGCCCGAAAGCUAGGGCUUAUCUUGAUAGGAUAAUAUAUAGAAGUUCAAAACCUCUCAC